This 441-nucleotide small RNA is filed under the name Pan troglodytes (chimpanzee). RNAcentral's name for it is "processed transcript". Lineage: Eukaryota; Metazoa; Chordata; Mammalia; Primates; Hominidae. The record is from RNAcentral.
GUGCUUUGUACAUUGGGAAGUUCUUUCCAGCUCUGGACAGGAAAACGUGAAAACAGAUGAUCCCAAGUAGGUUUCUCCCUAAACUAACAAUUAAAGAAUAUAGUUUCACUUUUUCAUUUUUAUUUGUUGAAACUGGUAAAGCUUCUACCUUGAGUGGGUCUGGGUUGUUUUAAAAUUUAUCAGACCACAUUGGUCUGAUAUUGUUUCCUUCAUUUAAUUUGAAAAAGCUUGUUUAAAAUAACUAUUUGGAGAUGGAAUAAUUUUUUGGUUUUAUGAAAAUUUAAAGGAAUUGUAAAAGAAUCUAAGACAUACUUAUGGAAUUGCAGUCAAGUUUUUCUGGUGAUUUUGACUGAAAUGCAACUGCAGAAGCAACAUGUGACCUUUUAGAGAUGCUUGUGGGACUGCAUAAAGUGAAGAGGGAAACUGGAAAAAAACAAUGAA